AUUGAACGCUGGCGGCAUGCUUUACACAUGCAAGUCGAACGGCAGCGCGGGCUUCGGCCUGGCGGCGAGUGGCGAACGGGUGAGUAAUGCAUCGGAACGUGCCCAGUAGUGGGGGAUAGCCCGGCGAAAGCCGGAUUAAUACCGCAUACGACCUGAGGGUGAAAGCGGGGGACCGAAAGGCCUCGCGCUAUUGGAGCGGCCGAUGUCGGAUUAGCUAGUUGGUGGGGUAAAGGCUUACCAAGGCGACGAUCCGUAGCUGGUCUGAGAGGACGACCAGCCACACGGGGAUUGAAACCCGGCCCAGCCACCUCCGGGAGGCAGCGGGGGGGAUUUUGGAACAAGGGGGCAAACCCGGACCCAGCCAGGCGGGGGGGGGGAAGAAGGCCUUGGGGUUGAAAACCGGUUUUGUGGGGGAAGAAAUCCUCUGGCCUAAUCCCCCGGGGGGAGGAGGGAACCGAAAAAAAAAGCACCGGCUAACUACGUG
RNAcentral lists this ribosomal RNA (484 nucleotides) under uncultured bacterium. RNAcentral's name for it is "partial 16S ribosomal RNA". It matches the Rfam family "Bacterial small subunit ribosomal RNA", at positions 29 to 507 of the family's 1533-position model. The record is from RNAcentral.